RNAcentral lists this unclassified non-coding RNA (554 nucleotides) under Cenococcum geophilum. RNAcentral describes it as "partial contains ITS1, 5.8S rRNA and ITS2". The stretch from base 200 to 353 matches the Rfam family "5.8S ribosomal RNA". Lineage: Eukaryota; Fungi; Ascomycota; Dothideomycetes; Gloniales; Gloniaceae. The record is from RNAcentral.
UUAGAGGAAGUAAAAGUCGUAACAAGGUUUCCGUAGGUGAACCUGCGGAAGGAUCAUUACAGAAAGUAAACGCGGAUCAAACCGCGAACUUCUAAACCUUUGACGAUUGACUCAUGUUGCCUCGGCGGGUCCUCCCGCCAGAGGAUACAUCAAAACUCCUGUUUUAACGGUGUUGUCUGAGCUAUAAGCAACGAAUCAAAACUUUCAACAACGGAUCUCUUGGUUCUGGCAUCGAUGAAGAACGCAGCGAAAUGCGAUAAGUAGUGUGAAUUGCAGAAUUCAGUGAAUCAUCGAAUCUUUGAACGCACAUUGCGCCCCUUGGUAUCCCGAGGGGCAUGCCUGUUCGAGCGUCAUUUCACCACUCAAGCCUGGCUUGGUGUUGGGCGACGUCCCCUUUGGGGACGCGUCUCGAAACGCUUGGCGGCGUGGCACCGGCUUUAAGCGUAGCAGAAUAUUUCGCUUUGAAAGUCGGGGCCCCGUCUGCCGGAAGACCUACUCGCAAGGUUGACCUCGGAUCAGGCAGGGAUACCCGCUGAACUUAAGCAUAUCAAUAA